GGGAUAGAAUUCCAGGAGUAGCGGUGAAAUGCGUAGAUAUCUGGAGGAAUACCAAAGGCGAAGGCAGUCCCCUGGUCCAAUACUGACACUGAGGUACGAAAGCGUGGGGAGCAAACAGGAUUAGAUACCCUGGUAGUCCACGCCCUAAACGAUGUCGAUUAGCCAUUGGAAGGACCCCUUUUCCUUUCAGUGACGUAGCUAACGCGUUAAAUCGACCGCCUGGGAAGUACGACCGCAGGGUUAAAACUCAAAGGAAUUGACGGGGACCUGAACAAGCGGUGAAUGAUGUGGAUUAAUUCGAUGCUACGCGAAGAACCUUACCUACCUUUGACAUGGCCAAAGUUCUACCGAGAGGCGGAAGUACUCGUAAGAGGAUUGGCGCACAGGUGCUGCAUGGUUGUCGUCAGUUCGUGUCGUGAGAUGUUGGGUUCAGUCCCGCAACGAACGCAACCCUUAUCUUUAAUUGCUCCUAUUUUAACAGGCACUUUAAAGAAACUGCCAAUGAUAAGUUGGAGGAAGGUGGGGAUCACGUCAAGUCCGCAUGGCCUUUAUAGGUAGGGCUUCACACGUCAUACAAUGGUUAGAACAAAGAGCUGCAAAUUCGUAAGAAGGAGCCAAUCUCACAAACCUAACCUCAGUUCGAAUUGCGGUCUGCAACUCGAGCGCAUGAAGCCGGAAUCGCUAGUAAUCGUGGAUCAGAAUGCCACGGUGAAUACGUUCUUAGGUCUU
RNAcentral lists this ribosomal RNA (729 nucleotides) under Candidatus Tremblayella phenacoccinincola. RNAcentral's name for it is "bacterial SSU rRNA". It matches the Rfam family "Bacterial small subunit ribosomal RNA", at positions 658 to 1382 of the family's 1533-position model. Lineage: Bacteria; Pseudomonadati; Pseudomonadota; Betaproteobacteria. The record is from RNAcentral.